RNAcentral lists this transfer RNA (71 nucleotides) under Loxodonta africana (African savanna elephant). It matches the Rfam family "tRNA". Rfam says of the family: Transfer RNA (tRNA) molecules are approximately 80 nucleotides in length. The record is from Rfam by way of RNAcentral. Lineage: Eukaryota; Metazoa; Chordata; Mammalia; Proboscidea; Elephantidae.
UCAGUGGUAGUUCAGUGGUGGAAUUUUCCCUUUCCACGUGGGAGAUCCAGGUUCAAUUCCUGGCCAAUGUA